RNAcentral lists this ribosomal RNA (370 nucleotides) under uncultured organism. RNAcentral's name for it is "bacterial SSU rRNA". It matches the Rfam family "Bacterial small subunit ribosomal RNA", at positions 528 to 896 of the family's 1533-position model. The record is from RNAcentral.
GGGGGGGCAAGCGUUGUUCGGAAUUACUGGGCGUAAAGGGCGCGUAGGCGGUUUGCUAAGUUGGAUGUGAAAACUCUGGGCUUAACCCAGAGCCUGCAUCCAAAACUGGCAAGCUGGAGUUUUGGAGGGGGAAGCGGAAUUCCUGGUGUAGCAGUGAAAUGCGUAGAUAUCAGGAGGAACACCGGUGGCGAAGGCGGCUUCCUGGACAAAAACUGACGCUGAGGCGCGAAAGCUAGGGGAACAAACAGGAUUAGAUACCCUGGUAGUCCUAGCCCUAAACGAUGGAUACUUGCUGUGAGGGGGAUUGAAUCCCUUCGUGGCGAAGCUAACGCAUUAAGUAUCCCGCCUGGGGAGUACGGUCGCAAGGCUG